This 2181-nucleotide long non-coding RNA is filed under the name Orbicella faveolata. RNAcentral's name for it is "uncharacterized LOC110059538, transcript variant X1". The record is from RNAcentral. Lineage: Eukaryota; Metazoa; Cnidaria; Anthozoa; Scleractinia; Merulinidae.
AUACACCGGAUUACAAGUUAUGACCCGGUCAUCACUAUGUUUAUAUCGCUACUGUGUCAUGUUUACUUAACAAACAGAAAACAUGCUCCGUGUUUCUAUCACGUUACAGGAACACGAGGCGACGUUUGGGAGAGAAAUGCUGAGAAUGCUGUGGGAACACAAGCCCAUACGCGAGUAUUUACACAGUUUUUUCGAGUUCUCCUAAAUUUUUACUAGUGUUUCUAUAACUCGAUAGAAACAUGUAACAUACUUUCAAUUUCGUGAUGAAAAAUCACUGUUAUCGCUACCUUAUGUUGUGGGAUUGUGCGUACCUAGUGCGUACCUACAGAUAUCCGGGAGCUUCGUGACCGAGAGCAUGCCAACUCGGCGAGAGAGAGGGACGAACGUGGCGAGAUGGCGGAAAGAUUGAUUACCUUUGAACAUAUUUAAACAAGGAAGGAAAGUAUGCAAGCAAAGUUAAGGCGCUGUGGUCGAACUUUUGUGCUGCCAUGCUGCCAUGCUGCCAUGCUGCCAUGCUGCCAUGCUGCCAUGCUGCCAUGCUUACAAAACCAGCAAAACCCAGAAACAGAUUUAAGUUCAAACUGGUGAGCUUAGACGCUCAACUUCAAUGUUCUGCAUGAGUUAUCGUUUUUGGCGUUGUUAUGUUUCUGGCUGGUUCUAUUGUAGCAGCAUUCAAAUUGCUUUUCUUUUGUACGUGCUGUGUUUGAAGAGGACAACGGCGAGUGAAAACAGGAGUUAGACUAAUCCUAUCAGAUGCCAUACAGAUAUGAACAGCAAAAGAUCAUUUGAUUGACUAGGAAAGAUGGUCUGGACAGUCGGAAGAUCACUGUAAGGAUUGCCAAGCAUAGGUGAGAAAAGCUGGAAGUCAGUAAAAACUACCAGGGAAAGAAGGACAACUUCAGGAUGAUGUUUCAUUAUGAGAUCAGUUGAUGUGUGAAACACACUAAGCUAUAGAGCAAUACAAGCCAGUGUAGAUUGUGUGCAUUAUGUUGUCCACAGCAUUGCAAGAAUACUAGCAGUACUACUUGGUUCCAUUGUCCUCGGUGUUCAGUUUGUGCAUGAUGGGAUCCACAGCAUCAUAAGAAUACCAGCAGAAAUCUACCGUUACCUUUGCUUAUUGCUUCGAAAAAGUAUCAGAAAUCAGUUUGCGGUUAUCCUGACGUUUGGAGAUGCUAUGAAACACAAAUAACCUGCUACAACAACUUGACUUGAAGCACGUGCUUCAAACAAAGAUGUCACAGUGUAUUGUCAACUUAUGGAAUUUGAAUUCUCCUCAAGGAUUUUUGGCAUUACAAGCGAGACAGCGAAAGGAUAAGGACAGAGACGAGCACAGAGGUACUGAAGUUGGCGAGCGACGGCAAUAAAGACACUGGAGACAGACACUGGAGACAGACACUGGAGACAGACACUGGAGGAAACAAUAAGGACAAAACAUUGAAGAUAACACAACGCAAAGUAGGAUAGAUAGAUAAGAUCGCUAGUGUUUUCUUUUCUCGGAUAAGUAAGAACAAGAAGGCAGACUUCGAAACACAGGAGGACGUUCGUUUUAGUUUCAAACAAGUUUAUUUUCGCUCUGUUUUGCGGCUCGUAAAAUUUAUUUACUGAUUCCAAUUGUCUUGUUUGAUACACGAGCCCAAGUCUCCAAAGUGUAAUCUACCAAGUUCGUAAGGUUUUCGAGUAAUAAACGUUUUUCUCACAGGAAACUCGUACACUGUGUAACUGGAAUAAGUUUGUAACUAACAGUUUUCUUCGCUCUUUAACGCUUUUGUUUGAAAUUUGACGGAGAUUCAAGAUCCUCGAUUGUCUAAUUUUAUCAAGAAGAUUUCUUGCUUCAAAACCGCAACAAAACGUUUGAUUUUAAUUUUUAAUUCAGCUUCUUAACUUGCUUAUCACAGCCACACAGUGUUGGUUUCUCGGAGGCAACUUGUGAAGAUUUUGCUUCUUCGUUUGAUUUCGUAUCAAAACUGUUCAGAAAGUCGAGUUAGCUAUCCAAUUUGAAAUGUUUCCCUGUAAACUUUUUUUGACUAAGAGCUGGUGCAAGUUAGUGUUUCAUGAAAGCUUUCAAUAUCAUUGUAAUUUUUUUGAAGUAACUAUUACUCGUGAAGACCCAUGUCAAAAUUUUUAAUUUUCCCGCCGAAAAAAUACGGGGGCUUAAAAUACGCAUGCGCCAUUUUUUUUUUA